Long non-coding RNA from Salmo salar (Atlantic salmon), 4087 nucleotides. RefSeq lists it as uncharacterized. The record is from RefSeq and is a predicted model, not a curated record. NCBI's taxonomy places the organism in Eukaryota, Metazoa, Chordata, Actinopteri, Salmoniformes, Salmonidae.
UUGAGUUCUUGCCCGCACAGACUGUUUGAUCUGUUCGUAGAAGAGUGGCUGAACAUGGAUACGGAUCGGCCCACGGUGUCAAGACAUGCAGAGGUAGACACCGAAAUAUUAGAUCAACUAGAAAAACACAAAGGUAAUUGAUUUAAUAUGGAAUAGCCUCAUGGCUACCUCAUCAGUUUCACUAUAAAAAAGGUAUCAUUGUGAAUUAUUUACGUUCUGCAACUUUGUAAAGGCGUCCGCAUGCUUCCCAGCCAACACAGUUCGGAAGAGUUCGUGCAUGGUGACAUUUAGUGACGUUUUUGUUCGUUUUGGACUUCGGUGAGGGUUUUUUCAGCUGUUCAGGUACACCAUUUAUUUUAUUUUUUUCCUUAUCAAGGCAAGCUGAAGUUCAGAACUGAAGUCUACGCCCCUUCGGUGAUUGGUCAACAAUAGGGAUUCUUCAAUAAAGUAUUUUUUUGUCAUUCAACGAGAGAUGACUCAUUUUGAUGCAAAUCUUUUCAUUAAGAAAUACUGCACCAAACAUCUUAGUCUCACAAUUUUACAUCUAACUAAGAUCUCCUCUACAAAAACGUCGAAAUUAAUAACAGAUUUCUUGAGUUAUUUUAGAUCCAUUCUGACUGUUUUGAGGAAGCGUAUACUGGCUACAGCGUAUCAAAAUGGACCAACAGUACUAUUGCCGUGUUCUCAUUUUUCAAGCAAAGGUCUUUUGAAGGGAGUAGGCGAGCACACUCGCUCGGGUUCGCCUAGCCGCCAGCCGAACUGAAGCAUGCUGACGCCUUAACAAAACAUUGUCACAGUUAUCCCAAGGAUGAAUUUGCAAACAUAACAUUUGAUUAAUUUGAUCUGUUCAUAGAAGAGUGUCUGAACAUGGAUACGGAUAGGCCCAUGGAAUCAAGACAUGCAGAGGUAGACACUGAAGUAUUAGAUCAAUUAGAAAACAGCAGCAUUGUACAAGCAACCAACAAGCAAACUUUGUGGGCUCUAAACUGCUUGAAGGACUGGCUGGCAGAGAAACAGAUGAUAGUGGAUUUUUCAACCAUUGAGAAAUCUGAAAUGAAUGUCCUCUUGCGAGAUUUUUACUGUUCUGUUCGAAGGGGUAAAGGUGGGGAGUAUUGCAUCCCAAGCUAUAUUGGAAUCCGGGCUGGCGUGAACAGAUUCAUUAACCUCCCUCCCCUUAGCAGAACCUGGUGCUUGAUGAAGGACAGUUUACCUCCUCUAAUAAUGUAUUUAUUGGGGUACUAAAGAAACUCAGACGAGAGGGCAGGGACAAAACUACCCAUCCUAAGGUGAUUAAAGCACAAGACCUUGAGAUUCUUCAAAACUCUACUGUGCUAAGCCCCUACACACCCAGAGGACUAGUGAACAAAGUGUGGUUUGAUAUCCAGUUACACUUUGGCCCCAGAGGAAAAGAGGGCAAUAGACAGCUAACGCCACAGUCGUUUGUAAUAAGGUACGAUGAAAACGGAGCAAAAUAUGCAACGCUGACUUCCAAAGAAGAAAGACUGAACCACAAAGAUGCAGAAGAGCAGAACUGGCAGAAUCGCUGUGGGAAUCAUGUUCCAGAACCCUGGUAGUCACCUCUGUCCAGUCGCCUCCUUGGAGAAGUAUCUGAGCAAGAUCCCUUCAGAUGCCACUGCCUUCUACCUCCAUCCUAAGAAGAUGGUCAUCACCAGUGACAGCAUAUGGUAUAGCCAGGAGCCAAUGGGGUUCAACUACCUUUCAUCAAUGCUGCCCCGACUGUGCCAGGAGGCUGGUACAUUGGAAAAGUACACAAACAACUGCUUCCGAUCUUUGCGCGAGAUCAUGUCUGUCAGCAGACUGAUAGUUCCUUGAAAAGUUAUUGAAAACCAUCAAUGGACAACAGAAAGAGAUGUCAAAUAUGCACAAUGUGAGUCAAGGCAGUGACACACUUCUGUUUUACUUCCUACCAGCAACAUUGUCUUGGUCUUAUACACAAAUAGAGAGCUUGCCAAGAUGCAUACAGUCCUCACCAUAUGUAUUUGGACACUGAAGCUAAGAUUUACAUUUUUUUGCUCUAUAUUCCAGCAUUUUCACCAACAAGUUGUACUCUACUGGAAACUGUUUAACCAUAAUCAUCCAUUUAGAAAAUGUAAAGUUUAGGAAAAGAAUCUCAGCACUAUGAAGAAUGGAUGCAUAAGAGGUUGCUUCUGAUAGAGAACAGGGGGAAUUAAUUUUUGUAUGAGGAUUUCUAAAAUAUCAUUUUGUUUGUGACUGGAAGCAAUUUGAGGUUAUACUUCCUAGAUCUGUUUUUAUACUGGUAAAAAAAAACAUGUCCACACCACUUUGUAUACCAUCUCUUGUGGCAAAUGGCCAUACUUACAGCUGUUUAACAAAUUAAUUGUACCCUUCACAUAGAAAUGAUAUUUCCCUAAUUUACAAGAUCUAUUGUUUAAAGGUUAUGUACCAACUAUAUAAAAUUACCUGUACCCCCUUAAAUUCAAGAUUUUGAACUAUAUAUCUCUUUCUCAGAAAUAAAUGGAACUAACAAAACAAUUGUGCAAGCUAUAAGAGUGCUUGAGAGUUAAGGUAGUAACAAGAAGUAUGGAAAACCAGAUGAGCCAAACAUACGUUGCGGGAAGGAACAAAAGGCCCAAGAGAAGUUGUAAACCAUAGGGAACCAGGAAUAAGAACGCAUCGAGAGAACAUAUGGAGUGAAACAACCUCAUCUGAGGGCAUUUGAUGUAGAAUAUGAGUAAUAACAAGUACAUGUAUUCUGAAGUGUGUAGGCAUAGUGCACUUGAUUACAUUAUAAUUUUGGUCUACAUGCAUAAUUGUAGCCUACCUUUCCUUCACGGCACUAGGGCUGCUGAAUCAAGUGCACCGACGCUUAACAGCGCGAAACAAAUGUAAAAACAAAUAGGAAAGCAAGGCUUUAUCAGUUUAUAAACCAUGUCUUUGGGCUUAUCGUUGUUUUUUUACAGAAAUGCUUGGAGAUCACGAUAGACCUGUUGGUAACCACUGUUGUAGCCUUUUACUUACGAAGCACAUCGGAGCAUAAAUUGAAGUAACUUUCCCCACUAAAGAUUGACCGUUUCUCACCAAGGUAGGGCAAAGGCCUGCAAAUGACUAAACCUGAUAAUCGCCCAAAAGUACACUGGUGAGAAGAAUCUGUAGUAAAACCCAGACUCAGAGAAUAAACUGUCUAACAAAAUGAAUAAUUAGACAUUUGAAAACCACCUCUAACCAUUUACAAAAUUAUUGGAAUGACCACACAAACUGUGAAAUUGUUAUUCAUGGGCUGCGGGCAACCAGCUGAAAACCACAAAUCAGAACUUAUAUAUUGCAGUCGAUGACCACCCUGCCACUUGCUACUGGGAGGAGAAUAUAACCAUUAUACAAGAUGGAACUGUGACUGCAAGGAUUGACCUAACAUGUAAAAAAUGUUUGUAGAAAAACAUUUGUUUAUGAGAAUGAAUGAAAUACCUAGAGUGAUGAGUUAGGCAGGCAUAGGUAUACUGAGCUCAUAAAGCAUGGAUGAAAACUUUCAUCACUGAAGAAUCAUUUAAUAAAAUGGCAGUAUAUUGCAAAGUAGGCUACGAUUAUGCGUGUAGGCCAACAUAAUGUAAAAUCUGAAUGGCUAUGCUUAUAGACUUUAGGAUACUUGUUUUACUGAUUACUAUACAAUACUGGUCCAUGCUUGCCGGCAAGGGAGUGUCAGGAAAUGUAGAAACUGAAAUUCCAAAUUCAAGUGUUGUAGUUAUCCAUCUCCAGCUUUUAGCUUUUGCACUCAACAUGGAAAUAUAAUUGUUGUAUUGAAGAAUACAAGGCUUAUCAAGAGACUACGCAUGAUUAUUCAUGUAACACACCGACAGUGUUAUAUUACAAUGAGCUAUAAUAUAAUCACUAGGCCUAUGCAUUGCAUGCAGAAUGUUAAAGAAUGUGAUGAGUUACUAUGAAUGUCGUCAAAUCGGUAUAAGCAUUAAUUAAUUAAUGAAUUACCUAAAGAUUUGGAUAUAUCUCUGUUCACUUCCGGCAAAAGAAAGUUUAUGACACAAGACAACAUAUUUUGAUUUAUUUUUUAUUAUUACAUCAUUUACAAAAAUAAACAUUUGAAUAUUAAAACAUA